Anguilla anguilla (European eel) is the source of this 722-nucleotide long non-coding RNA. RefSeq lists it as uncharacterized. The record is from RefSeq and is a predicted model, not a curated record. Lineage: Eukaryota; Metazoa; Chordata; Actinopteri; Anguilliformes; Anguillidae. The transcript has 5 exons.
GUCUCCUACAAAGUGAAGGUCAACCUUAUGGUUUCCAGAGGAGGCAUCCUGGGAGACCUGACAGCCAGUGAUGUUUGUGUGGAACUCCCCUUGAUCUUGAUGUCUCCGAAACCUGCAGACGUCACAGACAUAAAUCUUGAGUAGAUUCCCCUGGAAAGAUGACGUAUAAUGAAAGACAGCAAGGAGGACAGACUGACUCAGCCCAUCAGAUACGUUGUGAUCAGAACACCAAAUGGGGCGGCUAUUGUUUCUCCUUGCAAUGCAAUUACCUAGCCCCUCCCUCUUUUGAAUUUUCCAUCAAGAAAGUGCUCAGAGGUGCUGGGAGACCUCAGUACAGUCUGAAGACCAUUCACUGUCUACCAACACUGCUGCAUUUUUGUCCCCUGCACAGGUGUUUCUAUUUAGGGUUUAUUUAACGUAAAAUGCAUGUAUACCCAAAAUAGUCAGUAGCACAUCCAUGCAAUAGUCUUCUAAUAUUCCACAAUGUCAGGGUAUAGAUGUAACAUUUUUACUGAAUAAGAAAAUAUGGGGAUAAGUUAUUCAUGGGGAUAAGUCGUUCAUAAGUUAUUCUGACUGUACAAAGCAAACCUGUAGAUGUGCUGAUUUUGAGUACAAAUAAUAUACUUUAGUAUUUAGUAUUGUGUUACUUUUGGGAAAUGCGUAACCUGUGUCAUUUUUGUAUUCUGUUUCAACAAAUCUAACAUGUACAACCCUUUUGCACU